Molecule: long non-coding RNA, 1158 nt
Organism: Anthonomus grandis grandis
Lineage: Eukaryota; Metazoa; Arthropoda; Insecta; Coleoptera; Curculionidae
Exons: 2
Source: RefSeq, a predicted model, not a curated record
UGAGUGAACGUCAACUGCCGACCGCUGUUACGCAACGUAUUGUCAUUCGUUUUUCAAUGUGGGAAGGCGUUUAAAAUACCGAAAUUUAUCUUAUUUUUGCAAAAUCAGUUCGGUAGAACGUGCCUGAGUAAGGCUGAUGUGUUUAACUGGGCCAAAACAUUUCAGGAUGGCCGCGAAACCGUCGAGAAUGAGCCUCGUGACCGUCGACCGCAAACCAUCAAACCCACCAGACAAUAUUCGCUGCGCACAACUUCAUUAAUAGGUUCGUUCCAAGCGACCACAAAACCGGUCAUCGUACUGUCACGCGUUUGCGCAAUAGUUAUAAUGCGUUCCAAGAGACUUAUGACCGUUUACUGAACGAUCCUGAAUGCGAUCAAAGCGAAUGCGAAUCAAGCAGAAACCAAUUUCUGAGCGGACAUUUUGAUACAUCUCGGAGCGAAGGAACCGUUUGUAACUUGUAUGACUGACUUGCCGCAGUAGGUGCUUGACAGGUAUCAAUCGACCAGCUGUUCUGUUUAAAAAGGUUAUUUAUGAAAACAUUUGUUUGUAAAAUUUAAAUCCUUUACUUUUAAGUGUUACUGUGUGUGUGUACUAAGUUAAUUAAAUUUAAUGUUAAGAUAAAAUCACGGUGGGAAAUAUAAUCAACUAAACAAUCCAAGAUAACAAAGAGACCGGCAAAACUAGGGAUGAUUCAAUGAAAGGUGCAUAUCUGGUCGCUUGGAACAAACCUAAUGUUGCAUACUAUUCUACUCCUCUGCAUACUAACCAUCUGAAAACACACGUGAAAUUCACUUAUUGCUCAAAACGAAGGAGCUUUCCAGCACGAAGUCCGAUUCUUCUCCAGGAUUACGCGCCCUCAUACAGCCCGAGUUUGGUGAGAGGUACUGAAACACGCCCUUUACAGACCUAGUGAGUAGCGACUACCAUAUAUUUGGAUCACAGAAAGAAACCCUCAGAGGUCAAAAAUUCAACAUCGAUGACGAGGUAGAGGAGUUUGUACGCACAUGGCUAUUCGAGUUGCCCAAGAAAUUCUUCGAUACCAGCAUUAAAAAACUUUUAAAAAGGUAAAAAAAAUGUGUAACUAGUGAGAAAAAGUACCUAGAAAAACUAUAAAUUUUUGUAAAUUUUUCUGAUAGAAAAUAAACGUGUCAGAGCAUU